RNAcentral lists this ribosomal RNA (1430 nucleotides) under Clavibacter michiganensis subsp. michiganensis. Its description in RNAcentral is "bacterial SSU rRNA". It matches the Rfam family "Bacterial small subunit ribosomal RNA". The record is from RNAcentral. Lineage: Bacteria; Bacillati; Actinomycetota; Actinomycetes; Micrococcales; Microbacteriaceae.
AACGCUGGCGGCGUGCUUAACACAUGCAAGUCGAACGGUGAUGUCAGAGCUUGCUCUGGCGGAUCAGUGGCGAACGGGUGAGUAACACGUGAGUAACCUGCCCCCGACUCUGGGAUAACUGCUAGAAAUGGUAGCUAAUACCGGAUAUGACGAUUGGCCGCAUGGUCUGGUCGUGGAAAGAAUUUCGGUUGGGGAUGGACUCGCGGCCUAUCAGGUUGUUGGUGAGGUAAUGGCUCACCAAGCCUACGACGGGUAGCCGGCCUGAGAGGGUGACCGGCCACACUGGGACGAGACACGGCCCAGACUCCUACGGGAGGCAGCAGUGGGGAAUAUUGCACAAUGGGCGAAAGCCUGAUGCAGCAACGCCGCGUGAGGGAUGACGGCCUUCGGGUUGUAAACCUCUUUUAGUAGGGAAGAAGCGAAAGUGACGGUACCUGCAGAAAAAGCACCGGCUAACUACGUGCCAGCAGCCGCGGUAAUACGUAGGGUGCAAGCGUUGUCCGGAAUUAUUGGGCGUAAAGAGCUCGUAGGCGGUUUGUCGCGUCUGCUGUGAAAUCCCGAGGCUCAACCUCGGGUCUGCAGUGGGUACGGGCAGACUAGAGUGCGGUAGGGGAGAUUGGAAUUCCUGGUGUAGCGGUGGAAUGCGCAGAUAUCAGGAGGAACACCGAUGGCGAAGGCAGAUCUCUGGGCCGUAACUGACGCUGAGGAGCGAAAGCAUGGGGAGCGAACAGGAUUAGAUACCCUGGUAGUCCAUGCCGUAAACGUUGGGAACUAGAUGUGGGGACCAUUCCACGGUCUCCGUGUCGCAGCUAACGCAUUAAGUUCCCCGCCUGGGGAGUACGGCCGCAAGGCUAAAACUCAAAGGAAUUGACGGGGGCCCGCACAAGCGGCGGAGCAUGCGGAUUAAUUCGAUGCAACGCGAAGAACCUUACCAAGGCUUGACAUAUACCGGAAACAUGCAGAAAUGUGUGCCCCGCAAGGUCGGUAUACAGGUGGUGCAUGGUUGUCGUCAGCUCGUGUCGUGAGAUGUUGGGUUAAGUCCCGCAACGAGCGCAACCCUCGUUCUAUGUUGCCAGCACGUAAUGGUGGGAACUCAUAGGAGACUGCCGGGGUCAACUCGGAGGAAGGUGGGGAUGACGUCAAAUCAUCAUGCCCCUUAUGUCUUGGGCUUCACGCAUGCUACAAUGGCCGGUACAAAGGGCUGCGAUACCGUAAGGUGGAGCGAAUCCCAAAAAGCCGGUCUCAGUUCGGAUUGAGGUCUGCAACUCGACCUCAUGAAGUCGGAGUCGCUAGUAAUCGCAGAUCAGCAACGCUGCGGUGAAUACGUUCCCGGGCCUUGUACACACCGCCCGUCAAGUCAUGAAAGUCGGUAACACCCGAAGCCAGUGGCCUAACCGCAAGGGAGGAGCUGUCGAAGGUGGGAUCGGUGA